This 75-nucleotide transfer RNA is filed under the name Xanthomonas phage X1. RNAcentral describes it as "tRNA-Pro". It matches the Rfam family "tRNA". Rfam says of the family: Transfer RNA (tRNA) molecules are approximately 80 nucleotides in length. Their secondary structure includes four short double-helical elements and three loops (D, anti-codon, and T loops). Lineage: Duplodnaviria; Heunggongvirae; Uroviricota; Caudoviricetes. The record is from RNAcentral.
CUGUGUGUAGCUCAGUCUGGUUAGAGUACUCGCUUUGGAAGCGAGUGGUCGUUGGUUCGAAUCCAACCACGCAGA